Molecule: long non-coding RNA, 5268 nt
Organism: Prinia subflava (tawny-flanked prinia)
Lineage: Eukaryota; Metazoa; Chordata; Aves; Passeriformes; Cisticolidae
Exons: 3
Source: RefSeq, a predicted model, not a curated record
GUGCUCUGCAGUCAAACUGAUGGUCUGCCAGUGGUCCAACCUGAUUUUCUGCCUUUGACAGACUGAGAAAAUGACAGUGAUGCUAUUGAGAAAGGAUAUACAAUUCAUGCAACUACCUCUCCUGAAAGGAGGCCAUUCAGAGGAAGUGGCUGCUGUGCCCACAGAAAGGCUGGUAGCCAACAGUCCAAGUGGCAGUGCCAGGCUCGCUCUACACAUUUCUGCCCUGCUGUGUGCAGGAGUGGCAUAGUCUCAGAAAUUUCAGGAAACUGAAGGAUAAAGCUUCUUCAGAGAGUUGAAUUUUAAUGUCACAGAGGCAGCCAGCUGACAGCAAGGUCACAAACAGCCAUUCCAACUUGCCAGGCCAGUUGCCAGCUGCAGCAGAUUUGUCUUUCAUGGGAUUAAUGUUCUACAAUCACUUGUACCCAAAGCAGGUAAUUGAAAAGACUUUUGGGUGUGUGUGGGGUUUUUUUUUAACAGUUAUUUUGGCAACAUGGGUUCCUAUCCUAGUUUUAUCAGGCUUGUAUACUAUAAACAUUUCAUUUUUGUAUACCACAGCCAGGAUUAAGUGAAAGUAAAAUAAGUUUCUAUGGCAUGAAAUCACAAAUGGCCUUUGCUCGAAAAGCUGUGCAAACAUUUCAGCAGAAACGCUUCCAAUGUGGGAAUGGCACAGAAACAAUGCCUGGAUUAAUAUGCUGUGUACCAUUCCUCUUGCCAAAGAAGUUGGGGAAAGGUGACAAAAAGGGUAAACUUGGUCACUUUUCUGGCUAAAGUUCUGACUGAUUCAGGUUAAUAUUCAGGUUAAGAUCUUCAGGCUGCUUUAAAACAACUUCGCCUCAAGAAUGCUGCACAAGUGUACUUUAUUUAGGCAGCAUCCUGUACAAUGAAAGAUAUAUCAGAGAAUCUGGCUGUGUAGGCUGCAUAUUCUAAAAAAUCUUGAUUGCACUGUCUCUUCACUGACCGCUCGAAGUUGAAGCUAGCUUAUGCAAAAUCUUAUUUUAAGUACUUGGGGAAAAAAAUAAAUAUGGUGAAUCAUAUAGUCUUAACAAUUACUGUCAAAGUCUUGUCAUUUUGAAAGAUUAGAGAUGUAAAAUACUUGCUGAAAUUUAAAAAUGAAAAAAUAGAUUGGCAAUAAAGAAAAAGGCAUUUCAAAGUAGGUCCUAUGAAAACAACUAAAAAGAGCACAGUUGCAAGAACAGUAAUUGGCUUUUCUACCUUCUUUCUUUGCUUUGAGGAGGUCCUUAGAGAUUCAAACAUGCACUGACUCAGUCUCAAGGGGAUAUCAGGGAGAAAAGGUGAGUAAUUCCAGGCUAAAGGUAGAAAUUCAUCCUCCAGCUGCAUGGUUUGGAGAGAGGAAGAGAACUGGGAGGACAGAGCAGGUGAAAUACAAGCUGUGGGUUUUACAGUUAAUCUGUCACCUUGAACUCUCUAUUCUCUACUCCAGCAAUAUAUGUGCUCCUGAAAUCCAUGUGCACAGUGUUGUUCAGCUUCAGAAGAGGUGAUCGUUACAGAUAAUAUGCAUAAACCCAUUUAUUAUUUUCCUUCUCUUAUCCAGAUCGCUUUUGAUGCAAUUUUAUUUCUUUUAAAAUUUCUGCAGUUCAUUACAACAUCAAGCCUAAUUCUGCUUUCCUUGAACUGUUGUAGAGUGGAAUUAGUAGCAUAAAAUAAUUUGAGUUCACAGGAAAAACCUGCAGAUGAGAUUAGCUACUAAGAUCAGAGCUAAAAAUGCGUGGAGAGAAGCUUGCACAGACACAAGAUGUAAGUCAAUAAAACAGCCUGACACACACUGUCUGAGGGAGAAUAAAACCAAGGCCGUUUUUGUAUCCCAGCAAACCCUAUCAUGGCAGCAGGAAAAUCCUGAAAAAGCAAACAGGACCAGACACAAGCUAAGUCAAACUGGGAAGCCUCAGGUCACCUUCUCCAGGGGCAGUCAGCCACUGCACUGCACGAUGACAAGCAGCAAGGCUGUCACUCCUCUUGAUGCGGUGCUGAAAACAGCCACUCAUGCAAAAACUGAAUGUCCAAAGAUCAGUCAGUGCGAUGAGGAUUUGAGAGCCUAAAAUUAUUUGGAGAUGUGCCAAGGGGUAUCAGUGCCACUCACAUGAAUGCGUUUGUUAUCCAGUGCUGACAGAUCAGGAAUGCGCAGGGCACAGGACCCAGGGCACUCUGCAUGUCCUGAGAGUGAAUCAAAGCACAGGAGUUGUCGAUAGAACACGGCUUAAUGAUCAAAAUCCAUGUCAGGGAACACCUGAAAUACCUGUGGUCACAUUCCAUUCGUUAUAUAACCACUCAUCAUCACAGCCAGAAAUCAUUUAUAGAGGAGAAGAAGUGAGGAAGGUACUUUUGUAUUUUCUGUCAAGACAAAGAUGUUUCACAGAAGGGAAUAAGAAUUUGAGGACUUGAUCCUAUUUCCUGUGUCAGUGUUGCCUCUGAGGAACUGCCAAGUUUUCACUGAGAUGGUGGACAAGCUCUGCCAAAGGCUGACCCUUCUUUGAUUCCUAUGAACAUUUAAUUUAAUAUUUAAUUUAAAUGUAACAUUCCAAAUAACAAACAUUUUUGGUACCAAACUGAUGUUGUGAAGACUGAAAGAGGUACAGCUGGGGCAGAAAAUGCAAUGUUAUCUUAUAAUAUGUUAAUAAUAAUAAUAUGUUAACAAUAUGUUAAUAAUAAUAUGCUAUGUUGUCUUUUCUCCUGAUUUCCUACCCCAGUCUGGUGUGUUACAUUUUCUGGUUUUUCAUCUGUACAUGCAACAGAUCUGUUGUUAUGAUGGAGGCAGGCAAGAUGUCUUGACAGAGCAUUUCUGAUUUUUCUCUACUUUUCUGAUUGGAUUUUUUAAGGCUUUUUUUUUUUAAUGAUAAUGUGUCUUUUAAAUAAUUAUGUUACAAGUGAUAAUUAUAAAAGGAAAGUUCUUAAAUUUCAUGAAGUAACAGCAGUUUGACCUUAAUUUGCAAUUUUUCUUCUUUUGUUAUGAGUGAUCUGUAAUGAAAAUUGGAAAUAAUAAUCUCAUUUUCCCAGAGUAUUUGAUUUAUGAAAGUAGAUCUGACUCAUAGUUUAUGGUGUGUGAUAAAUUAUUUAUUCAGCUUUCUAUUUACCUUGGAUGUUUCAUUGCAUUUUCAUAAACCCCUGUGUACUGAUUCUCCUGGCUAUAAUUGGUUCCUUCACUUUUUAAUGAUCCAAAAUUAGUUGCAUAGAUCUAAAAUGGAUCUAAAAGAGCUCUUCAUUGCUUUUAUCUUUGCACACCCUCAGAUAUGAUAUCUCAAUCUAUUAAAAUGGUAAUUCAGUUUUUUGAUUAAACACAGAUGGAACGCUAUACUGGGAAAUGGAAGAUGAUAAAAUGUGGAAUAAAUUGAUAAACCCCUCUGUAAGGUGGGGCACUGGGGUUCUCUGUGGACGGUGCUCAUUCACUCAUUUUCAGCCAGAUUUGGUGCUUUGCAGUGACAGUACUGGUGAAUAUUUCUCGAGUUACUGAAAAUUAAACUGCAGUGAAAGGAGUCCUUAAUAGGGCUCUGCUCAUAAGAAUAUUGAAUUUGUGUUAAAAGGAGGAAUGAAUCUAUAUUAGGAGAAAAUUAUGUGAACUAGCUACAAGCUGAAACUUCAAAUGUGUUUGCUAAAUUACUUCUCAAACUUGGCAAGAAAAAUUCUAGCUCUUCAUUUUAACUUCUUUUACAAGGAAUCCUCAGGAAUAUACAUAAAAUAUUUGAAAUAUAAGAUCUUUACUUUUUAAACACUUUAGAUCUUUAAAUUGCAAUAAACUGAAAUAGUAGAAAAGGAUUUCAUUUUUGUGUAAAAUGAACAAGAGAAGAAAACACUUUUAGUUGCAAAUGUAACAUUUAUAAUUAUAAAAUGUCUUUAAAUUGGAAGACAAUCAUUAUAUGUCCAUGUUGAGAUAUCCCAACAACUAAUUUGACUAAAAUACUGACUAUCAAGUUUUUUCUCAUAAUCAUGCCACAUACACAUGCUUCUAAAAUGAAUUUCAACAGUUCAACACGAACAUUUUUGAUGAUAAUCUUCACAGUUCCUUAAAACUGUGAAACACUGAAAAUCAAAGUUUCAAUACACUGAAUUUCCUUGUCAUACACUAAUUAUUAGGUUCUGAUUAACUAUAGUAUCAAGACAACAUUCCUAUGCAAGUGUAUAUUAUAUUAAAGUUGAUCAUAAGGUAGGAAAGCCUUUUGUUUGUAAUUAGGUAGGGCAGCCUGCUAAUAUUUUAGGAAAAAAACCCUAUGUUCAGGAACCAGCUGCUGUGGACUCCUGUGCGUGUUCUGGACAUUUGCUGCAGUUCCCACUGCUCUGGGAACCCACCAAGGAUCUGGGAUUGGACACAACAGUGGGAUCAGACAUUCCAGAAGGUUCUGCUUCCUGCCUUGUUGCAGAGCCCACACCAGGAGCAGAGGCUGGUGAUGCUGGAGGAGUUGAAAUACACACAGAGUGAUGCAAAGUUCUAAGACAGAUCUACAUCCAUUAUCUACGGUGAGUUAUAAACCUCAUUUCAGCUCCACUGGGACUUUGUGACUGAAAUUCAAAUGAUGAAAAAUACAGCUUUUCAGAUGGAAUGCCUACUGAACCUGCUGGAGGAGCCAAGUUUACUUUUGCAUCAUUUAUGCAUUUCAAAAUGCAGAAUAUAUCUGCAAAUGAUAAUCUCAAAAGACAGGAGGGGUUUUUUUUGGUUAAUUUUAUUUUUAAUUAAAAAGUAUAUACUUGCCAUUACAGCUGGGAGAAUAUGGCCUUUGAAUUAUGAAUGUCAAGCCAGAAAAGACAACUAAUUACAUUAACCUAAGAUAUUUAUAAAUAUAUUUAAAUCAAGAAAUAAAUAAAAUCAUGCUUUCCUUUACUGAAUCAAGAUUAAAGAGUGCUGUGUCUCAGCUAAGACAUCAAAGCCUUGAAAGAUUUUAGAGAAGAAAUGGUUGCUAAUUCUUAUUGAAAGCAAAAGUAUUCCUAAGGGAGACUAUUCUAAACCAUAUGUCUUUGACAUAAACUGGCAAUAAAAGAGAAAACUGCUGCUGAGAAUUUGUGUGAGAAAUGCAGCUGAAACGUUCCUUCCUUUUCAGGCAAUUUGACCUCGUUGGAGAUAUUACACAUCCUUAUUUUGAGGUUCAUAUAAUUUGUUGAAUUGAGCUUGGCACCAUUCAUAGCCUUAGAAGAAAUGGAAUACAUUUGGAAGUAAGCAAUAACAAUAAGAUUAUAGCAUUACUGACUGGAGUGGAACCAUCAGCAGAGUUCACUUGGAGUUUAUUUGGCACCUAUCGAAAUGCAGGAAAUGAGAAUUGUGGG